UUGAGGGAAAAAUAUUUUAGGAUGAUUUUGGGGAAGAAUUUGGGGAAUUUUCUGGUGGAAGGAUUUUGGGCAUUUUUGCAGGUGGAGCUCAUCUUCAACACCUCCAGGAUAGCAUUCAAGUUGGACAGCCUGUUGAUCCUCCUGCGCACACUGCAGAUUAUGAGGUGCAUGAGAUGCACGAUGCACCAGAUGUUAUGACAGAGACUGGAGGAUACCCUGGAGAGUCCUCGCAUGCUAGAGGCGAGGAGGCACCUUCAUCAUACAUUGAUGAUGUAGUGUUGAUGACAGAGGAGGAGUUGACACAGAUCCAGGAGGGCACCUUGAUGGCCAUUUAAUUUGGCCUUGAUAGCUUUACGGGCACAAGUAGCAUGAGUGUGGGGCUAUGUGAUUCAGGAUCUGAUAGUGUAGUUGGAGACAAGGGAAAGGUUGUGUAUGAAAAUAUUGAAAACAUACCUCCUCUACCGAAGACAUACAUCAAGAGUCCUCCAAAGCCGAAGAGAAAACAUGGAGAUGAGGAUCCUUUUGAGUCGAGCAGUGCGGCGAAGAGGAUCGAUUUUGAUGAUCCAUCAGUAGCUUAGGAUGUUAUAGAUAGUUUUGGGAUGCUUACAUGUCUAGUUGGCAUGUAUAUUUUGUAUAUGGACAUACAUUUUGUUUGAGUUGGCGUUUAUGCCAUA
Cryptomeria japonica (Japanese cedar) is the source of this 674-nucleotide long non-coding RNA. RefSeq lists it as uncharacterized. Lineage: Eukaryota; Viridiplantae; Streptophyta; Pinopsida; Cupressales; Cupressaceae. The record is from RefSeq and is a predicted model, not a curated record. The transcript is spliced from 6 exons.